GGACAGUUGAGAGAUGCAUAUAGCAUCGUUUCGAUGCCUUUUGACUAAAUUCCGAAUGCGGUUUUCUUAUCUUUGGUUCAUCUUCGCUCGUGUUGUAGCUUGGCAUGGUCGCCGCCAUAUUGUUUGUUUAUCAAAGCGCAUAGCAACAGUCCUCGUCUCCUAUUGGUGCACGUGACCUAAAAUGGCUUCACACACUGACGAUACGACUCCGCCGUAUCAAUAUCACUGCGCCACGGGGGAAAAAAAGACCGACACGAAAACGCUAAUUACUAAAAAAUGACUGGAAACCACAUGCGAUGUGGACGAUAAUUACCAACACAACGAGUAGAGAAUUCCUAACACAGCUCCAGUUGCUCUGAAGGGCGUUGACAGACAGGCAAAAAAAGGAAAGUUCACAAGUCCCACUUCCAAAGCACCAACCAGCUUCUAAAUGCACAUUUCUCCAUGUGGUCGUCCUUCAGUCAACUCAGCAGACUGAUGCUGCAUUCCAGGAAGGUGGGAAGUCGGGAGGUUUCAACCUCCGACCUGGAACGCCACUCGACCAGGGAGGUAGUCAUGAAGUUGAAGAAAAAGUACCCAGACAAUGGCAGACAUCAUGAGUUGCUUCAAUCUGAUGUCACUCGACAAAAUUGCGCUGCCCAUCAAAAAGCAGACCAUCAAAAGUAAAACUAAAGAAGGCUGUCUACAGCGUGUGCCAUCUAACCCCGGCCGUCGUUUUUCCUCCACUAUUUGAUCGCUUA
Molecule: long non-coding RNA, 740 nt
Organism: Corythoichthys intestinalis (scribbled pipefish)
Lineage: Eukaryota; Metazoa; Chordata; Actinopteri; Syngnathiformes; Syngnathidae
Exons: 3
Source: RefSeq, a predicted model, not a curated record